UCAGGACGAACGCUGGCGGCGUGCUUAACACAUGCAAGUCGAACGAUGAUGCCCAGCUUGCUGGGUGGAUUAGUGGCGAACGGGUGAGUAACACGUGAGUAACCUGCCCCUGACUCUGGGAUAAGCGUUGGAAACGACGUCUAAUACUGGAUAUGACUGCCGGCCGCAUGGUCUGGUGGUGGAAAGAUUUUUUGGUUGGGGAUGGACUCGCGGCCUAUCAGCUUGUUGGUGAGGUAAUGGCUCACCAAGGCGACGACGGGUAGCCGGCCUGAGAGGGUGACCGGCCACACUGGGACUGAGACACGGCCCAGACUCCUACGGGAGGCAGCAGUGGGGAAUAUUGCACAAUGGGCGAAAGCCUGAUGCAGCAACGCCGCGUGAGGGAUGACGGCCUUCGGGUUGUAAACCUCUUUUAGUAGGGAAGAAGCGUAAGUGACGGUACCUGCAGAAAAAGCACCGGCUAACUACGUGCCAGCAGCCGCGGUAAUACGUAGGGUGCAAGCGUUGUCCGGAAUUAUUGGGCGUAAAGAGCUCGUAGGCGGUUUGUCGCGUCUGCUGUGAAAUCCCGAGGCUCAACCUCGGGCUUGCAGUGGGUACGGGCAGACUAGAGUGCGGUAGGGGAGAUUGGAAUUCCUGGUGUAGCGGUGGAAUGCGCAGAUAUCAGGAGGAACACCGAUGGCGAAGGCAGAUCUCUGGGCCGUAACUGACGCUGAGGAGCGAAAGCGUGGGGAGCGAACAGGAUUAGAUACCCUGGUAGUCCACGCCGUAAACGUUGGGCGCUAGAUGUAGGGACCUUUCCACGGUUUCUGUGUCGUAGCUAACGCAUUAAGCGCCCCGCCUGGGGAGUACGGCCGCAAGGCUAAAACUCAAAGGAAUUGACGGGGGCCCGCACAAGCGGCGGAGCAUGCGGAUUAAUUCGAUGCAACGCGAAGAACCUUACCAAGGCUUGACAUACACCGGAAACGGCCAGAGAUGGUUGCCCCCUUGUGGUCGGUGUACAGGUGGUGCAUGGUUGUCGUCAGCUCGUGUCGUGAGAUGUUGGGUUAAGUCCCGCAACGAGCGCAACCCUCGUUCUAUGUUGCCAGCGCGUUAUGGCGGGGACUCAUAGGAGACUGCCGGGGUCAACUCGGAGGAAGGUGGGGAUGACGUCAAAUCAUCAUGCCCCUUAUGUCUUGGGCUUCACGCAUGCUACAAUGGCCGGUACAAAGGGCUGCGAUACCGUAAGGUGGAGCGAAUCCCAAAAAGCCGGUCUCAGUUCGGAUUGAGGUCUGCAACUCGACCUCAUGAAGUCGGAGUCGCUAGUAAUCGCAGAUCAGCAACGCUGCGGUGAAUACG
This 1335-nucleotide ribosomal RNA is filed under the name Curtobacterium sp. MG-2011-34-BB. RNAcentral describes it as "bacterial SSU rRNA". It matches the Rfam family "Bacterial small subunit ribosomal RNA", at positions 24 to 1370 of the family's 1533-position model. The record is from RNAcentral. Lineage: Bacteria; Bacillati; Actinomycetota; Actinomycetes; Micrococcales; Microbacteriaceae.